Non-coding RNA from Heterocephalus glaber (naked mole-rat), 1618 nucleotides. Lineage: Eukaryota; Metazoa; Chordata; Mammalia; Rodentia; Bathyergidae. The record is from RefSeq and is a predicted model, not a curated record.
CACGUAUAAUGAUUGAAUAAAAUGAAGCUAUAUGUGUAUCGAUAUAUAUACAUGUAUGUCUAUUGUGUGUAUUCAUGUAUAUCUCUCUUUUUUUUUUUUUUUGGUACUGGAGAUCAAACUCAGGACCUUGUGUGGCAGCACCACUGAUCUAAAUCCCUGGCCCCAUAUAUCUCUUUUAAAUACAACAGUAUGGGGCCAACUGCAGCCUUGCCAGGACACAGAACACCCUGUCUGAGGUGACCCUUCCAGGUGGUUAACACGAUGUGAACAGCAGAGUAGAUGCUCAAUAGACUAUUUCAGUCCUCCUAUGACACUGAAGGAAGCCAAGAGAAUGAACUCUGUCUACACCAAACUGCAGACUUACCUGUCAUUUCUUCCUGGCUUACCUUUAUCUUCUCUGUUAUGCCCAGUGGAAGAUUUCCCUUUUGGGGGAUACCCCAUUCUGGGGUUUUGUCUUCUCCAGGGCCACACAUGAGACCCAAACCUAAUCAUCAGAAUCAUGGGAAUCUGUCCAACAUAGGUGGACAUACACGAGCUAGCCCUGGCACUUUUGCUGGAACUAGUGGGAAAAGUCCUUUUCCAAUCAAUGCAGUUUGCAGAGCAGAAGCUGGCAGGUGCUGCUGUCAUGGACAGAGCCUUCCUGAAGACAAGCUGCAGGGAUUCAUCCUAUCUGAGGCAAUGACUGCACAGAGAGCCCUGUAGUGUCCCUGGGCACCAAUACUUGUCUGUGCUUCUGUGAGGGACCGGGUGUACCUCAAAGCAAGAACUCAGUCAGUGCUAUGUGUCUGCCGAGUGACCAAACUGCCUUAAAAAUAUCUCUUACUGGACUGUGGAUGUAGCUUCAUGGUAGAACAUCUGCCUACCAUGUGUAAGGUCCUGGGUUCAAUCACCAGCAGUGAAAAAAUAUUAUAUACUUAGCUCUUUAAGACCAUCCAAGUUGGUGUAAUGGGUUAAAUAUGAAGUAUGCCCCCAAAGACUCAGGUAGUAAGGGCCUGGUCCCCAAGGAAGCAAAAGGUGGGGCCUGGAGAGGGACUGAAUCAUAAGAGUGCUAAUCUCAAGCUGGAACAAUCCAGUGAUGAGUCUUUGCUGAGUGGGCUGUCAGGAGGUGGGCCCAACCAGAGGAAAUGGGUCACUAGGUGGGUACAUUCUUGUUCCCUGCCCCUUUCUGUUUGUCUCUUUCCUCUCACUCUGCUUCCUGGCAGCCACAAGGUCAGCUGCUUUCCUCCACUAUGAUGCUCUGCCUUUUCACAGGCCUAAAGUAAUGGAGCCACUCAACCAUGGACUGAAACUCCUAAAACUUUUGGGGGAUCUGAAGAGCUCCUGAUAAUUGGCGCCUGAACAGGGACUUGAGACUGAAGGGAGAGGCCUAUCUGAGUGGAAAAGGAGUGGAACAGAUGACGGAAGACUGCAGGAUGACUUCAGAGAUGGCCGUACAAAAUUAUCUAGGCUAUUACGAACUGAGAGUUAGAAGAUGUAUAAAAUUCGGAUCUCCAGGAAGAAUUUAGUCAAAUUAUAACAGCCAGCAGGUAAGAACCAUGUUUAUUAUGUCUUUUUUCUGAUGGGUAUAGCUAAGUGGUACUAUACGUUACUAAUCAUGACACAAAUAUAACACAAAUAA